This 73-nucleotide transfer RNA is filed under the name Scolopsis ciliata. RNAcentral's name for it is "tRNA-Thr". It matches the Rfam family "tRNA". From Rfam's summary of the family: Transfer RNA (tRNA) molecules are approximately 80 nucleotides in length. Their secondary structure includes four short double-helical elements and three loops (D, anti-codon, and T loops). Further hydrogen bonds mediate the characteristic L-shaped molecular structure. tRNAs have two regions of fundamental functional importance: the anti-codon, which is responsible for specific mRNA codon recognition, and the 3' end, to which the tRNAs corresponding amino acid is attached (by aminoacyl-tRNA synthetases). tRNAs cope with the degeneracy of the genetic code in two manners: having more than one tRNA (with a specific anti-codon) for a particular amino acid; and 'wobble' base-pairing, i.e. permitting non-standard base-pairing at the 3rd anti-codon position. The record is from RNAcentral. RNAcentral also lists the same sequence under 1 other name. Lineage: Eukaryota; Metazoa; Chordata; Actinopteri; Spariformes; Nemipteridae.
GCAUGGGUAGCUCAAAUUUUAGAGCGUCGGCCUUGUAAGCCGGACGUUGGAGGUUAAAAUCCUCCCCCCUGCU